This 390-nucleotide ribosomal RNA is filed under the name Trichodes ornatus. RNAcentral describes it as "partial 16S ribosomal RNA". The stretch from base 264 to 390 matches the Rfam family "Bacterial large subunit ribosomal RNA", at positions 2473 to 2600 of the family's 2925-position model. Lineage: Eukaryota; Metazoa; Arthropoda; Insecta; Coleoptera; Cleridae. The record is from RNAcentral.
UGGAUGAGAAAAUAACUGUCUCAAUUUAAUUUUUUUUGAAUUUUAUAUUUAAGUUAAAAAGCUUAAAUUAAAUUAAAAGACGAGAAGACCCUAUAGAGUUUAAUUUUAAAAUAAAAUUUUAAAUUAUUGUUUUUAUUUUUGAAAUUUAAUUUUAAAAUUUUGUUGGGGUGAUAGAAAAAUUUAAUUAACUUUUUUUAAAUAUUUACAUUAAUUAAUGAAUGAUUGAUCCAAAAAUUUUGAUUAAAAGAAUAAAUUACCUUAGGGAUAACAGCGUAAUUUUUUUUAAGAGUUCUUAUCGAAAAAAAAGAUUGCGACCUCGAUGUUGGAUUAAAAUUAAUUUUUGGUGUAGAAGCUAAAAAAUUAGGUCUGUUCGACCUUUAAAAUUUUACA